RNAcentral lists this ribosomal RNA (390 nucleotides) under uncultured bacterium. RNAcentral's name for it is "bacterial SSU rRNA". It matches the Rfam family "Bacterial small subunit ribosomal RNA", at positions 29 to 420 of the family's 1533-position model. The record is from RNAcentral.
AUUGAACGCUGGCGGCAUGCUUUACACAUGCAAGUCGAGCGGCAGCGCGGGGGCAACCCUGGCGGCGAGCGGCGAACGGGUGAGGAAUACAUCGGAACGUGCCCGAGAGUGGGGGAUAACGCCGCGAAAGCGGCGCUAAUACCGCAUAUUCUCUGAGGAGGAAAGUGGGGGACCGCAAGGCCUCACGCUCACGGAGCGGCCGAUGUCGGAUUAGCUAGUUGGUGGGGUAAAGGCUUACCAAGGCGACGAUCCGUAGCUGGUCUGAGAGGAUGAUCAGCCACACUGGGACUGAGACACGGCCCAGACUCCUACGGGAGGCAGCAGUGGGGAAUUUUGGACAAUGGGCGGAAGCCUGAUCCAGCCAUGCCGCGUGAGUGAAGAAGGCCUCGG